UGACCCCUCUGACUCUCCGGCCUCUUGCUGCGCCGGACCGCCCAGAUGGGCCAGAGGGAGAUAGGCAGGAGCAGCUCACUGGGCUGCUGGAGCCGAGCCCACGGGCCAGCCGAGUCCAGCCUCUGACCCGCUGAGGUCAAGCGUGACCGACAAAGAGAGGAGAGAGACUGGAGAGACUGGAGAGAGGAGAGAGACUGGAGAGAGACAGGAGAAAGGAGAGAGACUGGAGAGACAGGAGACAGGAGUCUCUCAGGCAGAGUUAGCACAGCUGCCAGAAUCACAGAGGGUCCCAAUCCUACUGGGAGAGGGAGGAUGGAACUCAGUUGAACUGGCAGCCCAGUAUGUGAUCUCCUGUCACAGCCUGAGGAACAGUGCCACCCACACACCGGUCACACCCCUGCCCUGCCCCUGCUCCAGCAGGACUGCACCACCCUCCGUGUGGCCCAGCACCCUCCUCCCAGUCCUGCCCGCACAAGGGUAAGCUCUGUCUGGUCCAGCCCUGCUCGAAUCCCACCCCAGGCUCGUCCCUCUCUCUUGCUUCGCCGGGCAGAAGAAGGCAUCUGCAGCACUGCCUGUGCAGCUGAGGUCACAGCUAGCUGUUGGGACUUGCCAUCCUUUCAACAGAACGAAAUGGUCAGCACUGAAGGCCGACCCUGUGAAGGCAGCGGUCCCUUCCUGUCCCCAGUGCUGGUGAGUGAGAGACUGGAAGAGCUCUAAGCACCCCAAGCCCUGGAAGUGUGAGGACACUGGGAGAGAGUGGCUCCAGUGCAUCAGAAUAAACCUGACUGGAUGCAGAAGUUGCCAUUUGGAGACGCACUCUGGCAUUCCUCCAGUAGUGUUGGUACAUUGAUGGAGCAACUAAUAAACACAGUGAUGGAAAAGACAAUACAUGUUUUCAGCAGUGUAGAGUUGCACCACAGAGGGUAAAGAAAGAGAAAUCAAUUUGUUGACCACUUACUGACCAUUUAUUUAAAAGAGACACUGCCCAUCUCAUGAUGAUGCAAUACAGGGGCUGUAGUGCAAGUUGUGUGAAAGAAGAGAAGAGGACAAACUUGUGUAGUGCUGGAAAGACAGGAGCCAAGCUGUGUCCACCCAGUCAAGCCGUUAGCUGCGGGUCAUUAAGGAGCUGGGCCGCUAGGAAGAGCGGAUUAGUGGGAUAAUAGGAUUGUGGGAGACUGUGCUGCUCCUGGGGCUGCCCACAGCGGACACUGAGACCCCCACCACGCCACACCGCAUCUGCCUCCUUCAUGAAGGAAUAAAUCGACCUGCUAAUGAAACAAAACUAAUUAUAAAGGAAAAAUGGAACCAUAUGGUGCACAACUCCCUCCUUUGACUAAUCUGCCUGAUUCUGUCUCCACUAGAGAACCGGCACAGCACUCUUCCUCUAGUGACUGUCUCUCUCUUUCUCUGUCAUUAUUUAUCUUUAUGGCA
Long non-coding RNA from Lepisosteus oculatus (spotted gar), 1431 nucleotides. RefSeq lists it as uncharacterized. The record is from RefSeq and is a predicted model, not a curated record. NCBI's taxonomy places the organism in Eukaryota, Metazoa, Chordata, Actinopteri, Semionotiformes, Lepisosteidae.